RNAcentral lists this ribosomal RNA (253 nucleotides) under uncultured bacterium. Its description in RNAcentral is "partial 16S ribosomal RNA". It matches the Rfam family "Bacterial small subunit ribosomal RNA", at positions 524 to 776 of the family's 1533-position model. The record is from RNAcentral.
UACGUAGGGUGCGAGCGUUAAUCGGAAUUACUGGGCGUAAAGCGUGCGCAGGCGGUUUGUUAAGACAGAUGUGAAAUCCCCGGGCUUAACCUGGGAACUGCAUUUGUGACUGCAUCGCUGGAGUGCGGCAGAGGGGGAUGGAAUUCCGCGUGUAGCAGUGAAAUGCGUAGAUAUGCGGAGGAACACCGAUGGCGAAGGCAAUCCCCUGGGCCUGCACUGACGCUCAUGCACGAAAGCGUGGGGAGCAAACAGG